GACGAACGCUGGCGGCGUGCCUAAUACAUGCAAGUCGAGCGGACGGAUGGGAGCUUGCUCCCAGACCGUCAGCGGCGGACGGGUGAGUAACACGUGGGCAACCUGCCUGUAAGACUGGGAUAACUCCGGGAAACCGGGGCUAAUACCGGAUAACUCUUUCCCUCACAUGAGGGAAAGCUGAAAGAUGGCAUCUCGCUAUCACUUACAGAUGGGCCCGCGGCGCAUUAGCUAGUUGGUGAGGUAACGGCUCACCAAGGCGACGAUGCGUAGCCGACCUGAGAGGGUGAUCGGCCACACUGGGACUGAGACACGGCCCAGACUCCUACGGGAGGCAGCAGUAGGGAAUCUUCCGCAAUGGACGAAAGUCUGACGGAGCAACGCCGCGUGAGUGAUGAAGGUUUUCGGAUCGUAAAACUCUGUUGUCAGGGAAGAACAAGUACCGGAGUAACUGCCGGUACCUUGACGGUACCUGACCAGAAAGCCACGGCUAACUACGUGC
RNAcentral lists this ribosomal RNA (499 nucleotides) under uncultured bacterium. RNAcentral describes it as "partial 16S ribosomal RNA". It matches the Rfam family "Bacterial small subunit ribosomal RNA", at positions 28 to 508 of the family's 1533-position model. The record is from RNAcentral.